This 102-nucleotide ribosomal RNA is filed under the name Erinaceus europaeus (western European hedgehog). The record is from RNAcentral. Lineage: Eukaryota; Metazoa; Chordata; Mammalia; Eulipotyphla; Erinaceidae.
GCAUACCACGCUGAACAUGCCUGAUAUCCUCUGAUCUCGGAAACUAAGCAGGGGGUGGGCCUGGUUAGUACUUGGAUGGGGAGAAAAGAGGUCAAAAAAGCA